This 1109-nucleotide long non-coding RNA is filed under the name Neogobius melanostomus (round goby). RNAcentral's name for it is "lncRNA (ENSNMLG00000023937.1)". The record is from RNAcentral. Lineage: Eukaryota; Metazoa; Chordata; Actinopteri; Gobiiformes; Gobiidae.
CUUUCACAGAGUAUAGUUUUAUUGUUGUUUUUUGUUGUUGUUUGGUUUGCCCCCCUUCGGGGUGGUAAGCUACGCACAAUCAGAAUGUAACCUGAAGUAACUAGCUUCCCGAGACACACACGGUACAGUAGGUGGCGGUAUGCACCUAAGCUGCUGGUUGCCACCCGCCAGUAAUCGAAAGAAGAAGAAGAAGAAGCACAAACAGGAAGAAAGGAAAAUUCAACCAAUCACAGCGGACAGAACGAAUCUCGUUUCCGGACACACUUAGCUGGUUAGCUUGCCCUUCGAAGCUAAUGCUAAAGUUUGUGAAAAUGCCUAAUAUCCAAACGCUGAGAGCUUUGGUGAAUGAGCGGCUCACUGCGGCUGCCGAAGAGAUAUUUGCACUGUUUGAAAGAACGAUAGCGGAGUACGAGGGGGAACUGUGUCGCUUCCAGAAGGUGAACCAGAGGCAACGACGCCUCCUGGAUGAAGUGACCCCGAGAGGCCCGCCGCCCUGUGCGGGAGUGGAGGUCCGGGUUCCCUCGCCGAAUCCUGGCCCCGGGCUGAACCACGAAAUCAUACAGACUGUAGAGAUUAAAGAGGAACAGGGCGUCAAACAGGAGGAAGAGCAGCUGCCAGUGUCAGUCCCAGAGUUCAUUGCUGUCUGUGUGAAGACGGAAGAAUCCCCACUGCUUCAAAGCCAAAGUGAGCACAGAGAGGAACCACAGGAGGACGUCGUACCAGAGCCACAUUUCCACACAGAGACUCAUCAGGGACACACAUCGUCUGGCACUAACUAUGACUGGGAACCACCAUUCAGCUGUCCAACUGCCCUGAUGGAGACAGAGGCUGAUGGAGACCACUACAACCAAGUCCAGUUUAGAGACAGAGGCACAGCUCAAAACUCCGGUCUAUCUUCUGAGUCGCAACCAGGGACAAGUGCUACGGUCAACCCUCAAGACGUGUCCGCAACUAAUGAAGGAGAUAAGAACAAGAUACACCAGUGCCCUGUGUGUAAAAUAAAUUCUGGAGUAAGUUUAGUUUACAAAAGCACUUUAAAGUUCACACAGAAGACAGACCUUUCUGCUGUUCAAUCUGUCCAAAAACAUUUAUUCAUAAGGGUGAUCUAG